AUUGAACGCUGGCGGUAUGCUUAACACAUGCAAGUCGAACGGUAACAGGAGAGAGCUUGCUCUCUUGCUGACGAGUGGCGAACGGGUGAGUAAUGCAUAGGAAUCUGCCUUAGAGUGGGGGAUAACUCGGGGAAACUCGAGCUAAUACCGCAUACGUCCUACGGGGUAAAGAGGGCCUCUACUUGUAAGCUCUCGCUUUAAGAUGAGCCUAUGUCGGAUUAGCUUGUUGGUGGGGUAAAGGCCUACCAAGGCAACGAUCCGUAGCUGGUCUGAGAGGAUGAUCAGCCACACUGGGACUGAGACACGGCCCAGACUCCUACGGGAGGCAGCAGUGGGGAAUAUUGGACAAUGGGCGCAAGCCUGAUCCAGCAAUACCGCGUGUGUGAAGAAGGCCUUCGGGUUGUAAAGCACUUUCAGUAGGGAGGAAAGGCCUAAGGUUAAUACCCUUAGGAGUUGACGUUACCUACAGAAGAAGCACCGGCUAACUCUGUG
This 492-nucleotide ribosomal RNA is filed under the name uncultured bacterium. RNAcentral's name for it is "bacterial SSU rRNA". It matches the Rfam family "Bacterial small subunit ribosomal RNA", at positions 30 to 507 of the family's 1533-position model. The record is from RNAcentral.